GCCAUCGUGGCGCAAUGGUAGCGCAUCACCUUCCUACGCGGGGAUGGAACCCUGAGUACGGGUGAGGUGGGGGUUGCGGGUUCGAUCCCCGUCGUUGGUA
Non-coding RNA from Epithele typhae, 100 nucleotides. The record is from the annotation of a RefSeq genome assembly. NCBI's taxonomy places the organism in Eukaryota, Fungi, Basidiomycota, Agaricomycetes, Polyporales, Epitheliaceae.